This 485-nucleotide ribosomal RNA is filed under the name uncultured bacterium. RNAcentral's name for it is "partial 16S ribosomal RNA". It matches the Rfam family "Bacterial small subunit ribosomal RNA", at positions 30 to 507 of the family's 1533-position model. The record is from RNAcentral.
AUUGAACGCUGGCGGCAGGCUUAACACAUGCAAGUCGAGCGGGGAAAGGUAGCUUGCUACCUGACCUAGCGGCGGACGGGUGAGUAAUGCUUAGGAAUCUGCCUAUUAGUGGGGGACAACAUCUCGAAAGGGAUGCUAAUACCGCAUACGUCCUACGGGAGAAAGCAGGGGACCUUCGGGCCUUGCGCUAAUAGAUGAGCCUAAGUCGGAUUAGCUAGUUGGUGGGGUAAAGGCCUACCAAGGCGACGAUCUGUAGCGGGUCUGAGAGGAUGAUCCGCCAAACUGGGAAUGGGACACCGCCCAGACUCCUACGGGAGGCAGCAGUGAGGAAUAUUGGACAAUUGGGGGAACCCUGAUCCAGCCAUGCCGCGGGUGUGAAGAAGGCCUUUUGGUUGGAAAGCACUUGAAGCGAGGAGGAGGCUACCGAGAUUAAUACUCUUGGAUAGUGGACGUUACUCGCAGAAUAAGCACCGGCUAACUCUGUG